This 200-nucleotide ribosomal RNA is filed under the name uncultured bacterium. RNAcentral's name for it is "partial 16S ribosomal RNA". It matches the Rfam family "Bacterial small subunit ribosomal RNA", at positions 28 to 231 of the family's 1533-position model. The record is from RNAcentral.
GAUGAACGCUAGCGGCAGGCUUAACACAUGCAAGUCGAGGGGUAUAGCUCUUCGGAACUAGAGACCGGCGCACGGGUGCGUAACGCGUAUGCAAUCUACCUUUUACAGAGGGAUAGCCCAGAGAAAUUUGGAUUAAUACCUCAUAGUAUAUAGCCCUGGCAUCAGGAUUAUAUUAAAGUCACAGCGGUAAAAGAUGAGCA